GACGAACGCUGGCGGCGUGCUUAACACAUGCAAGUCGAACGGAAAGGCCCUGCUUUUGUGGGGUGCUCGAGUGGCGAACGGGUGAGUAACACGUGAGUAACCUGCCCUUGACUUUGGGAUAACUUCAGGAGACUGGGGCUAAUACCGGAUAGGAGCUCCUGCUGCAUGGUGGGGGUUGGAAAGUUUCGGCGGUUGGGGAUGGACUCGCGGCUUAUCAGCUUGUUGGUGGGGUAGUGGCUUACCAAGGCUUUGACGGGUAGCCGGCCUGAGAGGGUGACCGGCCACAUUGGGGCUGAGAUACGGCCCAGACUCCUACGGGAGGCAGCAGUGGGGAAUAUUGCACAAUGGGCGGAAGCCUGAUGCAGCAACGCCGCGUGCGGGAUGACGGCCUUCGGGUUGUAAACCGCUUUCGCCUGUGACGAAGCGUGAGUGACGGUAAUGGGUAAAGAAGCACCGGCUAACUACGUG
This 468-nucleotide ribosomal RNA is filed under the name uncultured bacterium. Its description in RNAcentral is "partial 16S ribosomal RNA". It matches the Rfam family "Bacterial small subunit ribosomal RNA", at positions 28 to 507 of the family's 1533-position model. The record is from RNAcentral.